This 434-nucleotide ribosomal RNA is filed under the name uncultured bacterium. RNAcentral describes it as "partial 16S ribosomal RNA". It matches the Rfam family "Bacterial small subunit ribosomal RNA", at positions 29 to 507 of the family's 1533-position model. The record is from RNAcentral.
ACGCACGCUGGCGGCAGGCUUAACACAUGCAAGUCGAACGCAUGCCUUCGGGCAUGAGUGGCAGACGGGUGAGUAACGCGUGGGAACCUACCCCUUGGUACGGGAUAGCUCCGGGAAACUGGAGAUAAUACCGUAUGUGUCCUGAGGGACAAAGAUUCAUCGCCAAGGGAUGGGCCCGCGUCGGAUUAGCUAGUUGGUGGGGUAACGGCCUACCAAGGCGACGAUCCGUAGCUGGUCUAAGAGGAUGAUCAGCCACAUUGGGACUGAGACACGGGCCAAACUCCUACGGGAGGCAGCAGUGGGGAAUAUUGGACAAUGGGCGCAAGCCUGAUCCAGCCAUGCCGCGUGAGUGAUGAAGGCCCUAGGGUUGUAAAGCUCUUUCACCGGUGACGAUAAUGACGGUAACCGGAGAAGAAGCCCCGGCUAACUUCGUG